Onychomys torridus (southern grasshopper mouse) is the source of this 385-nucleotide long non-coding RNA. RefSeq lists it as uncharacterized. The record is from RefSeq and is a predicted model, not a curated record. The transcript is spliced from 4 exons. Lineage: Eukaryota; Metazoa; Chordata; Mammalia; Rodentia; Cricetidae.
GAAGAGGAAGACAAGAGGAGGGAGGCGGAGGCUGUAGAAUGCAAAUGAGCAAAGGGCAGAGAGGUUGAUGAGGGGAUAGAAAGAAGGCGGGGAGUACAAACUCAGCCUGCAUGGUGUCCUGAGGCUCCAGGUCUUUGGAGGGCGGGCUACAUCACAGUUGUGCGUAUGCGGAACGAAGAGCUUCAAGAGAAAGGUUUCUCCAGGAGAGGGCAGCAAUGGGCCCCUACAGGAGGGCCCAGCCCUUCAGGGCUUCUCUAAUGCCGGUCCUGGAGGAUUGCUGGCCAGAGACGGAUGGACGGAGAAUCUGACUGAUCCUCAACAUUGGGGAACUUCCUGCCCAAGAAGUGUGAAAGGGAGACAGGGGCCUUCUAAGGCUGGAGCAGGC